AGCAGCCGCGGUAAUUCCAGCUCCAAUAGCGUAUAUUAAAGUUGUUGCAGUUAAAAAGCUCGUAGUUGAAUUUCGGGACCAAUAUGUUGGUCGUGCCUAGGUACGUACUGUCAUGAUUGGUUUCUCCCUUCUGAAGAACCACGAUGCCAUUAAUUUGGUGUCGUGGGGAAUCAGGACUGUUACUUUGAAAAAUUAGAGUGUUUAAAGCAGGCUCGCGCUUGAAUACAUUAGCAUGGAAUAAUGAAAUAGGACGUUUGAUUCUAUUUUGUUGGUUUCUAGGAUCGACGUAAUGAUUAAUAGGGAUAGUUGGGGGCAUUAGUAUUCAAUUGUCAGAGGUGAAACUCUUGGAUUUAUUGAAGACUAACUACUGCGAAAGCAUUUGCCAAGGAUGUUUUCAUUAAUCAAGAACGAAAGUUAGGGGAUCGAAGACGAUCAG
RNAcentral lists this ribosomal RNA (436 nucleotides) under uncultured Glomus. RNAcentral describes it as "SSU rRNA". It matches the Rfam family "Eukaryotic small subunit ribosomal RNA", at positions 569 to 1011 of the family's 1831-position model. Lineage: Eukaryota; Fungi; Glomeromycota; Glomeromycetes; Glomerales; Glomeraceae. The record is from RNAcentral.